RNAcentral lists this ribosomal RNA (389 nucleotides) under Peridiniales sp. RNAcentral describes it as "partial small subunit ribosomal RNA". It matches the Rfam family "Eukaryotic small subunit ribosomal RNA", at positions 582 to 975 of the family's 1831-position model. Lineage: Eukaryota; Dinophyceae; Peridiniales. The record is from RNAcentral.
AUUCCAGCUCCAAUAGCGUAUAUUAAAGUUGUUGCGGUUAAAAAGCUCGUAGUUGGAUUUCUGCCGAGGACGACCGGUCCGCCCUCUGGGUGAGCAUCUGGCUCGGCCUGGGCAUCCUCUUGGAGAACGUAGCUGCACUUGACUGUGUGGGGCGGUAUCCAGGACUUUUACUUUGAGGAAAUUAGAGUGUUUCAAGCAGGCAUACGCCUUGAAUACAUUAGCAUGGAAUAAUAAGAUAGGACCUCGGUUCUAUUUUGUUGGUUUCUAGAGCUGAGGUAAUGAUUAAUAGGGACAGUUGGGGGCAUUAGUAUUUAAUUGUCAGAGGUGAAAUUUUUGGAUUUAUGAAAGACUAACUACUGCGAAAGCAUUUGCCAAGGAUGUUUUCAUUA